Alligator sinensis (Chinese alligator) is the source of this 85-nucleotide non-coding RNA. Lineage: Eukaryota; Metazoa; Chordata; Crocodylia; Alligatoridae. The record is from Rfam.
GGCUCUGUGGCACAAUGGAUAGUGCAUUGGACUUCUAGAAAGUGAAGGGAUUCAAAGGUUCUGGGUUCGAGUCCCAGCAGAGUCU